AACCUUCUGUUGAAAGGAUAUUGACUGUUUACCAAAGACAUAGCCCUUUCAAUAAUAAAAGGUGUCACCUGCCCAAUGGCUUACGAGUGUAAAANUAACCAUACUUUAAGUAAGCUUAAAGGACGCGGUAUUCUGACCGUGGUAAUGUAGCAUAAUCAUUCGCCAUUUAAUUGAUGGAUAGUAUGAAUGGUUAAACGAAUACAGCACUGUCUUAAAAGGAAUUCUUAUGAAAUUAGAAUAAUAGUUAAGAUACUAUUUAAAACUGUAAGACGAAAAGACCCUAUAGAGCUUCACUAUAACUCUUUGCUGUUCUAUAAAUUUAUUUACACCGUUAAAGAGAUAGGUAGUUUAGUUGGGGCGACUGCUUUCUAAAACUAACGAAAGCAAGCAAUAUUAAUAAAUUAAUUUACUGUCUAAUCCAUACAUUUAACAGUUAUAAACAUAGGCUAUAAUGACCCGUUGUUAAUUAGUAAUCAUAACAACGAUCAAUAAAUAAAAGCUACCUUAGGGAUAACAGGAUAAUCUUGUUUUAGAGACCUCAUCGAAAACAAGGUUUGUCACCUCUAUGUUGAAUUAAGACAUCCAAGAAGUGCAGCAGCUUCUAAGGGUAGGUCUGUUCGACCUAUAAUGUCUUACAUGAUUUGAGUUCAUUCCGUCGCAAGACAGGAAGGUUUCUAUC
This 679-nucleotide ribosomal RNA is filed under the name Solanderia sp. CLAetal21. RNAcentral describes it as "partial large subunit ribosomal RNA". It matches the Rfam family "Bacterial large subunit ribosomal RNA", at positions 1774 to 2642 of the family's 2925-position model. The record is from RNAcentral. Lineage: Eukaryota; Metazoa; Cnidaria; Hydrozoa; Anthoathecata; Hydractiniidae.